CGCAGCGCCUCUCCCGGAACUCACAGCCACCUCUGCGGAGCGAGAGAUUAGCACUGGCUUCAGAAAGCGCUGUUUUCACCUGUGGAACCCGAGCGACCAGAACAAUUCGCUUUCCUUCUUAACUACUACCGGCGAGUCCUCCCUGCGACCUGCGCUGGGGAAACGCGCCGCGGCCUGGACCCUCCGCGGGACUGGAGGCGAAGUCCGCGUCCAGCCCCGGGCCCCAGCUCCCCCGAGCCGCGGCCUGGGGAUUUCUUCUGGCUGGGUUUGGGCCACCGCGGGAGCGAGGGGACGGGGACAGUUCGGAGAGCUAACCUCGACCCUUUUCCGUUACACCUGUGGGGAGGAGGUCACGCGGCUUCUCCAGGCUACCGAAGUUAAAAACGCAGCUUUCUUCCUGGCCUUAAGCACAGAGUGUGGAAGAUGGGCCUCGCUGAGAAGGUUCAAACAGCAUCUUGGCCCGCUGCUCAUUAGGCAAGAAAGGCUGAAAUGGCCCCGGUGGAUUUUAAAUGCUUGAGUUGCAAGGGUAAUGCAUACUAGAUGUUCUGUAGUUAAAACUGGGGAACGCCUGCCUUCAGCAGAGGAAACAGAUCCGAUUCCCUCUGAGCCAGCGGUGUACAAGAACAGCAAGAAAAGUCUCCCCAAGCCUUUCAGAUAUAAAGCUUUCUUCAGAAGCUUCACAGCAAGAUUCAUUUCGCAUUGCAAGGUAAGCAGGGCUGCUAUGCUGCAGCAACCUCUGCCUAUUUUGGUAUUUAUUAAAAGAAAUUAUGACCAAUUCACUAAGUAGACAAUUAGAUAAACAAGUUCUAACCUAGCAACCUGAUCUUUCCUGGUCAUUUGUAAAUCGACAGCACCUCCUACAGGAAUUUGCUAGUGUUGUGUUAAAUGUUAAAUUAGGGGAAAAGGGCUGACUUGGGUGUGGGUAUCUCCAAAAUAUCUCCUACCUGUUUCAGUGUAGUUCCAGGCCCAUGGACAAAUACAUGUCUAGGCAUACCUAGAUUUCUUUAAAAGAAUUUCCUUAUUAAAGGUAAGAAUGACAAAUUUUACCAGACUGAUUUUCUUAAAAAAAAAAAAAAAAAAAGCCCUGUUGACUUUGAGUUCUUACAUCAUCCAUCAGACAUGAAUUCUUUGGCUUUCUGUACUUAGAAUUUCUACAUAUACUAUACUUUCUUAUUACCAGUCAUCUUUUUAUUGAUUCUACAUUUCAAAAGCCCCAAGUAGAAUUAGAUGCUUAAUGUUUUUAUUUGAAAAACUCAUUUUCAGGCCGGGGAUUUAGCUUAGUGGUUUCGCUGCCUGCUGCACAAGCGCAAGGACCACAGUUCGAUCCCCAGUACCAAAAAAAAAAAAAAAAGACAAAAUGAAAAACUCAUUUUCUUUUUCCGUAUCAGUAGUGUAUACAAAACAUGUAAGGAGAGAACCUUUAAAGCUGUUCGUUGUGACUGACUGUGAAAAUGCCUCCCUUCUAUUUCCAAGUUUAGGACAUUAGAAUGCUGCCACAUUGGGGUUGUCUAGCACCUUAGGUGACCAAGGCUGGAAGCCAAACUGCAAACCAGCAUCUUCCAUAACACAUGAGAAUUUUACUCAGAAGUGGAUGGGUAAGAAUACUGGGGCUAAGGCAUUUCAGGGUUUUGCAAUCUUAAUAAUGAAGGAUUAAAUCAGAGGUUUAAAAAAUUGAAUGAUUACUUAUAAAGCUAAAAAGUGGACCACAUUUUUCUGAAAGUCAAAGUGUGAAAAGGUGUGUCUUUAAUCCAUUCUUAAUUAUAAGAUGCAUUUCAACAUUUCUCUUCAUGAAUACUAUAUUGGUUCAGAAAUCCUUUUUAAGGCAGUGAGUAUUGCAUAGGUUUUGACAUUAUAAAUAUUAUAAAGUCUAAAAAGGCAUAAAGUAGAAAAUAAUUACUGCAACACUGAUGAACUCAAGGUGUAAAUUAGUAUCUUUAUCAAUUUCAAAUGCAUGCUUUUUUAAGUGAAGCAGCAAUGGAAUCUUUGAGGUGCACUGUAAGUUAUUAAAGAAUAUGGAGGAGGGAUGCAAGCGCUUCUCCCCCUCCAGUUCCCUUAAUCUAAAUAGAAGGGUUAUUAUCUUUAGUUUUACACCUUCACUUUAUACCUUCUUAAAAAUUAGAGGGGCUUUGUGUUCAUACAAAGCAGGACAAAGAUAUUUCAUUAACUUCUCUUUCAAACUUACUUUCUUAAAAAGAACUUUUGAGAUAUUAUGACUGUUGACUAUCUAAACCAUCCAUUUUAUAUUUAACAGAUGUUUUCUUAAAAAGCAGAACCUAAUAACAAAAAUAGUGUCCAUGAUGUGAAAUGUUUUUUGGAAUUGCAUAUUAUAGUCUGUACUAAUUUUUUCUUUACUUUUUCCUUUACUAUAUGUGUAAACACAUGGGAAAAUACUUCUAUAUUCUCAUGAAAUAGAUCAAAAUAGUUCGUAUUCUCAUUUUUGACAGAAUAUAACUGCUUAACAUUAAAGUAAAAUCUUAGAAUAGUUGUGUGUCCAUAGUAGCAAGGGCAUGGAUGAUAGGUAGAGUGGUCCCCCUCCAAUGAACAUGUCCUGACCCCUGGAACUGGUGAAAUGGAUGUAAAUAGACAUAAUUUCCAUUUACAUGGUAAAGGAGAAUUAAGGUUGCUAAUCAGCUGGUCUUAAUGUAGGGAGAUUAUCCUAGAUUCUUAAGUGGACCCAAUAUAAUCACAAGGGUUCUUUUCAAUUAGCAAUAAUCGUGCCUUGGAUAAACCUUAUUGGCUACAAUACUGCCACUGCACAAAGCUCACAAGGGUUCCUCUAAUGCAGAAUAUCAAAGGGUCUGAUUAGAUGUGAGGACCUGACUGCCCUUUAUUUUUGAAAAUGGAGGCAGAGGAGCCAAGAACGCCAAUAGCAUCCAGAAGCUGAAACAGACAAGCAAACAGGUUUUUCCUUCUGGUGAAACCUUAAUUUGAGCCUAGUGAGACCUAUGUGAGAAUUCUGAUCUCCAGAACUGUUAUGAUAAUAAAUAAUUUAUACUGUUUGAGGCAUUUGUAUGGCAGCACAGAAAACAAAACAUCCAAAUGUAAACAGCUUGCACUGCAGAACAACACACCUAAAGGGAGUUUAAGAGUCAAAAGAAUACUGAUAAAAGUCCAGUUUAAUUCACAUUAAUGAAUUUCAACCAUUACACUUUGCUUCAAGCAAAUUUAAAAUUUAAAACUAACAAAUUUGAAUUGACAAAGGAAAAAUUAAAUUAUAACCAAUGUACUGUCACCCUUUGAACAAAAAAAAAAAAUG
Molecule: non-coding RNA, 3256 nt
Organism: Heterocephalus glaber (naked mole-rat)
Lineage: Eukaryota; Metazoa; Chordata; Mammalia; Rodentia; Bathyergidae
Source: RefSeq, a predicted model, not a curated record